UCUAAUGUGACAGAACCAAAUGUGAUGAAUUUAAGAUUCAUAAAUAAAUAAAUAUUAUUUCUUUAGAA
This 68-nucleotide transfer RNA is filed under the name Tylocentrus reticulatus. RNAcentral describes it as "tRNA-Leu". The record is from RNAcentral. Lineage: Eukaryota; Metazoa; Arthropoda; Insecta; Hemiptera; Membracidae.